AUUUAGCUGACUAAACGAGCUUCACUUAGGCAGCCUCUGCUUUUCGUUGACUGGGUUUCCAAUCUCUCUCUCCCUCUCUAAAAUUUUCUCUCUAAUGUCCUCGUUCCCACGAAAAAUGCACGUUUAGGGUUUCAUUGCAUUCAUUCCUAGAGAGAAGAAAUCUCCGGAAAGAGGUCUAGGUUUUCUUUGCACUCGUUGCUUUUGAAGUCUCACACUGUUUCUAGUCAAUACUACAAGGGAAGUUUUCACACCAUUACCUAAAAAGCGAGAGAGAACCUGUGAGUUGGAUAGAAGGCUGGGUACGGGAAAGAGGACGGCAAGCUGUCUGUUAUUCUACGUGCUAAUCAUCUGGUUUUUGAGGAAAAACUGGGGUAUAUUUCAGCGGACAUGGCCAUUUUUGCUGGAUUAAUGGAAGAUUCAAGCUUUCUAUCAGUUUUUUCCAGUCAAAACCAGCUUCGUUCCUGACUUUCUUGAGACCCAACAAACUCUCCUGCAAAAAAUUGGUAUGAUUUAUGAUUUUCUCUCUACUUUACUGGAAAAAGUACUCUGUAUUCAGUCUCUCAGUUAAUGGAGAAUUUGAACUCUUCUAGAGAUGGAAUCAAUCGAAACAAUAGACCUAGCGAUAGCUUUCUAGGGAUUAACAAACAAUCCCACAAAAUUGGCAAAGGGGUAACACGAAAAAGCCCCAUUCAUCCUUCAGGCUUUGCAAAUUCGAAGCAGCAGCCACCUCAACCCCCGGUCUAUAACAUUAGCAAGAACGAUUUCAGAAACCUAGUCCAACAGCUAACAGGUUCACCUUCUCAAGAAACCCAAGCUCCUGUUCCAAUUCAACCUCCAAAACCACCAAGUGUGAGAUUGCAAAGGAUCAGACCACCUCCAUUGAGGCCUCCAAUUCACAAUCCACAAACCCUAAAUCAAAAUCACCCCGUUUUCAACAACCCAAAUCCAGGAUUCCCUGGAAAACCCCUAAACUCGCCAUUAUUGGCCACCCCAUCAUUUUCACCAUUGCUUCCAUUAACACCAGGUGAUGCUGUAUGGGUCAAUAACUUUGCAGAAUCCCCUGUCUCUGCUUAUAUGCGAUACCUCAUGAACCCUAAUUCUGAGCCAGGGGCAAGGCCAAGUGGGUCCAUACAAGAAUCGUCGGGGUUGCUCCCGACCCCACAAGUGGGGCCCUCACCUAGGUCCCUACCAAGCCCGGGUUUCGUUUUGCCUUCACCCACUUCACAAUUUUUCUUGCCUUCACCACUGCCCUUGCCUUCACCCUUUGCUUUGCCAUCCCCUAAUUCAAGUUUUGCAAAUAAUGGGGACCCUCGAUUCUCUUUUUCAAGCACACCUCAAUCAGGGAUUCUUGGGCCGGGGCCUGCAUCACCGGGGUUCUUGUUACCGCCAUCGCCAUCUUCGUGGUUUCCUAUUCCAAGUCCUAGGUGGAGAAAUUUGUAAUCUUCUCAUGGCUUGGAGGUUUCCUAUGGCAAGUAAGAUGUGGAGAAAUUUGUGAUCUUCUUGUAAAAUCUCUGUUACUCAGAUACCACAAAAUCUUGAGUUUUAUUUUUCUUCUUUUAUUGGGGAAAUGGAGCUUUUUGCAUUUGUUCCUCUGUUUUUUUUCUCUCUUAAUUCUGCAGUUGUGUAGCUUUUUAAGAAUUGUUUAUUGAGAGGGAGCCUGUGUCAGAUAGGUUCCUGUGUCAUGGUGCAGAAGAGAGGUUGCAGCUGAGGCAUUGUAUUCUCUUCCUCAAAGGUGUAUAAUGUAAUCUGUAGCUUUACCUGCUUUUUUCCUUGGGGGUUUCUCUCUAAAAGGAGCUUAUGCCUCUGUGUCUCAUUAGAGAAAAUCAGUAUAGGUGGCACUUUCUAGUUGCAUUCUCUGCUCUCAUUAGAUGGUGAGGUUCGUAUCCCUCUCUCCCUCUCUCUCACACAAAAGACUUGAGGCCUUCGCUUCCAAGUUAUCUGCUUCUCUAGUUUUCUUGUAUUG
This is a non-coding RNA of Amborella trichopoda, 1963 nucleotides long. Lineage: Eukaryota; Viridiplantae; Streptophyta; Magnoliopsida; Amborellales; Amborellaceae. The record is from RefSeq and is a predicted model, not a curated record.